Molecule: ribosomal RNA, 453 nt
Filed under: gamma proteobacterium SCGC AAA044-G08
Lineage: Bacteria; Pseudomonadati; Pseudomonadota; Gammaproteobacteria
Description: bacterial SSU rRNA
Rfam family: Bacterial small subunit ribosomal RNA
Source: RNAcentral
GUGGGGAAUAUUGGACAAUGGGCGAAAGCCUGAUCCAGCCAUGCCGCGUGUGUGAAGAAGGCCUUCGGAUUGUAAAGCACUUUCAGUUGGGAGGAAGGGCNNUAAAUUAAUACUUUGCUGUUUUGACGUUACCGACAGAAUAAGCACCGGCUAACUCCGUGCCAGCAGCCGCGGUAAUACGGAGGGUGCAAGCGUUAAUCGGAAUUACUGGGCGUAAAGCGCGCGUAGGUGGUUCGUUAAGUCGGAUGUGAAAUCCCCGGGCUCAACCUGGGAACUGCAUUCGAAACUGGCGAGCUAGAGUAUGGUAGAGGGGGGUGGAAUUUCCUGUGUAGCGGUGAAAUGCGUAGAUAUCGGNAGGAACACCGGUGGCGAAGGCGACCCCCUGGACUGAUACUGACGCUCAGGUGCGAAAGCGUGGGGAGCAAACAGGAUUAGAUACCCCCGUAGUCCGGU